UCCAGGGUAGCCUAGUGGACAUGGCAUCUGCCCGGUAAGCGGAACACUGUGGGUUCGAUUCCCAUCUCUGGAC
Non-coding RNA from Cordylochernes scorpioides, 73 nucleotides. NCBI's taxonomy places the organism in Eukaryota, Metazoa, Arthropoda, Arachnida, Pseudoscorpiones, Chernetidae. The record is from the annotation of a GenBank genome assembly.